Molecule: ribosomal RNA, 460 nt
Filed under: uncultured bacterium
Lineage: Bacteria
Description: partial 16S ribosomal RNA
Rfam family: Bacterial small subunit ribosomal RNA
Source: RNAcentral
CCUACGGGUGGCAGCAGUGAGGAAUAUUGGUCAAUGGGCGCGAGCCUGAACCAGCCAAGUCGCGUGAGGGAUGACUGCCCUACGGGUUGUAAACUUCUUUUAUAAAGGAGUAAAGUGAGGCACGUGUGCCCUUUUGUAUGUACUUUGUGAAUAAGGCUCGGAUAACUCCGUGCCAGCAGCCGCGGUAAUACGGAGGAUCCGAGCGUUAUCCGGAUUUAUUGGGGUUAAAGGGAGCGUAGAUGGGUUGUUAAGUCAGUUGUGAAAGUUUGCGGCUCAACCGUAAAAUUGCAAUUGAUACUGGCAGUCUUGAGUACAGUAGAGGUAUGCGGAAUUCGUGGUGUAGCGGUGAAAUGCUUAGAUAUCACGAAGAACUCCGAUUGCGAAGGCAGCCUACUAGACUGCCACUGACAUUGAGGCUCGAAAGUGUGGGGAUCAAACAGGAUUAGAUACCCGAGUAGUC